Bufo gargarizans (Asiatic toad) is the source of this 2001-nucleotide long non-coding RNA. RefSeq lists it as uncharacterized. The transcript has 6 exons. The record is from RefSeq and is a predicted model, not a curated record. NCBI's taxonomy places the organism in Eukaryota, Metazoa, Chordata, Amphibia, Anura, Bufonidae.
GUGAGUGAUUGUGAACCAAAACCAGGAGUGGAGACUAUACAGAGAUACGGUCAGAACUGCUGUGGUUUGUUCAUCCUGCCUUCCAAGAAUAGGAUAAAAAGAGAUUAAGACGUGGGUAAAAAAAAAAAAAAAGAGUUCUGGGCCAGAACACCCUGCCCGACUGCCUUGCCCACAAGCCCGCUUGCCAGCCUGUUCUAAAGACUGCAUGCAACCAAGCUUGCCCGCGAAAUAGACAGCCUGAACGCCACAUUUUUUGCAACUCCAUACAAAAAUAAUGUCCAGCACAUCAUCUUCAAGUGAGGCCGGGAGCUCUUCUCCAACACGACGUCGUCGACAUGAUACGUCAUCGUCUGUGGAGGAGAUUACCUUCAGGCCAAGGGACGGCAGGAGAUGAGGAAGUUGGGGGUGGAGAACAAAUGUUUCAAACAUUAUGUUAAAAAUUGCAUGUUUUUUUAGGGUUUCCUGAGGCUCCACUAGAACGGAUGAGGAGGACAUCUGCGGUUUUUGGAUCGACAACGACCUCUUCAUCCAGAUGGUGGAGGACCGACCACCAUUGUGGGACCACACAGACCGCUGCCACGCAGACCAUCACGCAACCUGGCUCCUCUGGCUCCAGAUUUGUGAGGAGAUAGUGCCUAAUUGGGAUGACCUCAGUGAAAGUCAACAGGAUGAGUGUUUGGCGGUCAAUGAGGGACCGCUAUAAGAAGGACUUCAACGAGGAGGUUAAGCGCCCGAGUUGGUCUGGAGGAACCUGCAAGCGGCCGUACAGAUAUUCGGCUGCAUUGGGGUACCUAAAAGGGAGCUGCGAAGCACAUCAAGCAGUAUUUGGGCACCCGAAGCUCCUCGUGAAGUCCAAGCUCCUGUCGCACCGGAGGCGGUCCUUGAAGAGCCGCCCACCGCGGGUUCCUCUCGUCCUACUCCAACAGCUGCUCGGGACCUCAAUGUUCACCUACAUGUGCCCUCUGGCGACGCAAUGAUGGCUACAUUAGCACCGCUUUUUGAGGCCCUAAUACGUCACCAGAGGACAGGUAGGAGCAGUCAGACGGGCUACGAGGAUCUCACAAGGCUCGAUAACGAGUCCUUGAUGGGAUUCACUAAUAGAGUUGCCGCUUUGGAAAACACUGUGCGACGUCUGCAGGGGGGGCGGUGCUGACAUCGCAGUUGGGCCCAGUGCAUCACUAUUGGUUAUCGUUGCUCUCCGUGAUGGAACUGUUUACGCCCGACCAGCUAUUUGAGGCCUGAAGACAGGUGGACAGCGUCUUCUGGCAAGUACAGCACUGCCCCACAUCCCUUCCUCUGCCCCAGACCUAUCCCCCAUCCAUGCCCUAUUCCCCAUCACAACCUCAACAUCCCCCUUCCCAACCUCCUCAGCUCCCAUCCCCAUUCACCAACCCCCAAGCUCUUUACUCAACACUUUUCUCCCUCUCCUCCUCAUUACUUUCCUCCAACCACUUUCACUACUCCCUCAACUCUUGCUCGGUCAAUUCCUUUUACUGUUCCUACCCCAUCCUCAAGAUUGCACACUCUCUCUGUUGUACUUCCCACAACACACAGUUAUAUGUCCACAGGGGCACAAGAACAGGACAGAGGGGGACCAAACUGUGUUCUGUCCUCCACCCCAAACCUUCUACUCCUACAAGGCCUUCAUAUAGGCAUUUGUAGUUUGUUUCUUUUUUAUUUAUAUUUUUUUACAAAAAUUGUAUUUAAAAAUAAAAGUUAUUUUGUUUUGAAAAUGUUUUUGUUUUUGUCUCACCAAUACUUGUGUCGCUCCAUCAGCACUGGGAGAUAAACAAUAGUGUGUAUAACAGGCCUGACAAUCUCCCAGCGACAGUGAAGCGACACAAGUAUUUGUCGCUAGAGUAGGCGUACGUCUAUAGGCGAAUUGUGUCACUUUAUUGAUGGACCGCCUUAUAUUUGCUAUGCUCACAACCAUUUCAGUAUCUUUGUACUGCUAAUUCCGGGAAUGGUAUAUUGCUAUGUCUUGUGGUUGUAUGCAUUUGC